AGAGGGUGCGAGCGUUGUCCGGAAUCACUGGGCGUAAAGGGCGCGUAGGCGGCUCGGUAAGCGUGCGGUGAAAGCCCGGGGCUCAACCCCGGGUCGGCCGUGCGAACUGCGGAGCUGGAGCACUGUAGAGGCAGGUGGAAUUCCGGGUGUAGCGGUGGAAUGCGUAGAGAUCCGGAAGAACACCGGUGGCGAAGGCGGCCUGCUGGGCAGUUGCUGACGCUGAGGCGCGACAGCGUGGGGAGCAAACAGGAUUAGAUACCCUGGUAGUCCACGCCGUAAACGAUGGGCACUAGAUGCUUGGGGGAGCGACCCUCCGAGUGUCGGCGCUAACGCAUUAAGUGCCCCGCCUGGGGAGUACGGCCGCAAGGCUG
Molecule: ribosomal RNA, 371 nt
Filed under: uncultured bacterium
Lineage: Bacteria
Description: bacterial SSU rRNA
Rfam family: Bacterial small subunit ribosomal RNA
Source: RNAcentral